AUCGCUUCUCGGCCUUUUGGCUAAGAUCAAGUGCAGUAUCUGUUCUUAUCAGUUUAAUAUAGUUAACCUAAAUCCCUCAGCCUUCUAUUUCCAUUCUGUGUGAUCGGUUUAAUUGUCUCCUUCAUGGCCAGAAGGAGUUGGCUUUCACCAUGCAUUCUGAUAGAAAAAAGAAGAAAAAGAGAAAAGCCAGUUAUU
Small nuclear RNA from Suricata suricatta (meerkat), 195 nucleotides. Its record names the gene U2. It matches the Rfam family "U2 spliceosomal RNA". From Rfam's summary of the family: U2 is a small nuclear RNA (snRNA) component of the spliceosome (involved in pre-mRNA splicing). Complementary binding between U2 snRNA (in an area lying towards the 5' end but 3' to hairpin I) and the branchpoint sequence (BPS) of the intron results the bulging out of an unpaired adenosine, on the BPS, which initiates a nucleophilic attack at the intronic 5' splice site, thus starting the first of two transesterification reactions that mediate splicing. The record is from Ensembl. Lineage: Eukaryota; Metazoa; Chordata; Mammalia; Carnivora; Herpestidae.